GAUGAACGCUGGCGGCGUGCCUAAUACAUGCAAGUCGAGCGAACAGAUAAGGAGCUUGCUCCUUUGACGUUAGCGGCGGACGGGUGAGUAACACGUGGGUAACCUACCUAUAAGACUGGGAUAACUUCGGGAAACCGGAGCUAAUACCGGAUAACAUUUGGAACCGCAUGGUUCUAAAGUGAAAGAUGGUUUUGCUAUCACUUAUAGAUGGACCCGCGCCGUAUUAGCUAGUUGGUAAGGUAACGGCUUACCAAGGCAACGAUACGUAGCCGACCUGAGAGGGUGAUCGGCCACACUGGAACUGAGACACGGUCCAGACUCCUACGGGAGGCAGCAGUAGGGAAUCUUCCGCAAUGGGCGAAAGCCUGACGGAGUAACGCCGCGUGAGUGAUGAAGGGUUUCGGCUCGUAAAACUCUGUUAUUAGGGAAGAACAAACGUGUAAGUAACUGUGCACGUCUUGACGGUACCUAAUCAGAAAGCCACGGCUAACUACGUG
Molecule: ribosomal RNA, 497 nt
Filed under: uncultured bacterium
Lineage: Bacteria
Description: partial 16S ribosomal RNA
Rfam family: Bacterial small subunit ribosomal RNA
Source: RNAcentral